This 75-nucleotide transfer RNA is filed under the name Anatilimnocola aggregata. Its description in RNAcentral is "Planctomycetes bacterium ETA_A8 tRNA-His". It matches the Rfam family "tRNA". From Rfam's summary of the family: Transfer RNA (tRNA) molecules are approximately 80 nucleotides in length. Their secondary structure includes four short double-helical elements and three loops (D, anti-codon, and T loops). Lineage: Bacteria; Pseudomonadati; Planctomycetota; Planctomycetia; Pirellulales; Pirellulaceae. The record is from RNAcentral.
GUGCCGGUAGUGUAGCGGACUCUGCACACCUGGCUGUGACCCAGGAAGUAAGGGUUCGACUCCCUUCCAGCACCC